AAUAAAAAAUUUAAUACGCCAAAGACGGUAGGAGCUAAGGCUUAAAAUACAAUCCUAUUUAGGCAAUUAGAUGAAAAUCUCUAACCUAUUUGUCCGUCUUUUGCGAUGAAUAGGUUUUUUAUUGAAAAA
Peptostreptococcaceae bacterium is the source of this 129-nucleotide non-coding RNA. The record is from Rfam. NCBI's taxonomy places the organism in Bacteria, Bacillati, Bacillota, Clostridia, Peptostreptococcales, Peptostreptococcaceae.